Long non-coding RNA from Drosophila yakuba, 8683 nucleotides. RefSeq lists it as uncharacterized. The transcript has 3 exons. Lineage: Eukaryota; Metazoa; Arthropoda; Insecta; Diptera; Drosophilidae. The record is from RefSeq and is a predicted model, not a curated record.
AACUUUGUGCAGUGCGACGCCAACACGUAACGCGUUUGGCUUGCUAUUUUAGGCUUCCUCAUUUGCAGCAGCUAACCAAACACGGCAGGGUUGAAAUACGGGGUUGGGUUUGGGUUAGAGUUUGGGGGGUUUGGGUUUGGGGCUAAAAUGGGGGGUUUUCCAUGCCGCCGGACUGGCUUAUGCAAGCCAAACAACAGCUGACCCAGAUAUGUAUUUUAGCUACGAAGCGUAGCCAGUGGUGAACUAAAGCCAAAACGGAUUAAAUCCUUUAAAAAGUAAAAGCUUCUUGUUCUCAAUCAAAACCAAACCUCUAAAUGGCCGCACAUGCUCGUAUGAGCCAUGUACUAUUAAAUGGUUACAAAGCGACAGAUGAACUAGUCUAGCCUUGAAAUACUCUUUAGUUUAAUUAUGCGCAAAUGCAAGUAGUAUAUUAAAUAAAACGCCCAUCAUUCAUCAUACAACUGAAAAAAGUAGCAGAUACCUAUGUAUAUUAACUAAGUACUUUGAUUUUUUUUUUGACAGAGUCAUUCAUAGCUCUUCAUAGACAACAAAGCAGUGUAUGGAUUUAAGAGUGUAUUGGCAGAAGGACGUUGCAUGUUGUAUGUGGUAUUUGGCAGUGGCAGCUGGGGGUGGCAGCCUUGACCCGACGUUACAGCCCGUCUGCAUAAAGGACACACAUGUGCGCAGGAUAACAAAGGACCCGAAAAGAGCGUAGGGAUAGAGAUGGGGAUGGAACUCAGACUCCUGCCGGCAGAAGCUUUCCGGAAGCUUCACUCUCAUCCUCUCUUUCUAUCCUUGCACAGUCGUCUCUCUCUCUUUCGGGAACUUUGUAGGAGCAUCGGCAGCCGCCUCCUGGGGAAGAAAAUGGAAAAUCGACAGCCACGGGCGAGUGUUUCAGCUUCCGUUUCCUGGCCGCCUGGUGCCAAUUGGCUCCAUGGAGAAAAUGGCCGCUCCACACACAACACAAACAAAGCAGCGGCCCCUUGGACCCGAUUGCCCGCUUCCCGAUUCCGGACCCCUUCGUAAGAUGGAAGUCUAAGACAUGGACCAACUUCUUGGAUGCCGCACAAUCCAGAAUAAAGUACCUUCAGCAGGGGAAGUUUCAGCCACUCCAGUGUUUCCCCAGUCGCAAAAAUGGUUAAGGAUUUUUCGCGGGAUGGAUGGUUUGAAGGGUGGGGGGGUGGUGGCUGGGCCAAAGGGGCGGAACCGGGAGCCAGCCAUUGAGCAACUCUAACUCAAAUACUCCGCCUCAAAUCAACCGGCGAGCAGCAAAUGGCACAAGCUGGAUGGCAGACAGGAGCAACAGGAGUCGCCAAACAGGAGCUAUGACGUCAGCAACAGGAUAAGACAGAGACAAGACGAAAAGCGUGCGAGAGAACUGUGCAGGAGUGUUAAAAGCUGAUUGCACUGAGAAAAUAAGCUUAGUUAGUGCUUGCAUUUCGAUAGAAUCUUUUUAAAAAAGUCUUUAAAAAAUUUAAAAACAAAAACAUACAUGGAAUACAUUAUUAUUAUCUAUAAUAAGAAAAUGUAGCGGUUUGAAGUUUCUCACAGUUUUGUAGCACUGUGAAACAAUUCAUUUCUUUGAGUGCAGAAAGCUUUCGGUUUUUUUAAAAGCUUUUGUUGCGUCUCCUGCUGUGAUGUCAUAUAUUCGUCGACCCCUGGGGAACCCUCGCUCCAUCUCAGUCGCUUGCAUCAGGGGUUUGUGCGCAAAACAUCAAUAAAUAGAUUUCCCUGAUUUUUCAACAGGACGGCAGAAAUGACAGCAGGAGUCAGGUAACAAACAAUCGCAAGUCGUCGCCAACAAAACUCCAAAACACCCCCAAGGCCCCCCAAUGCAUAGAUAUUCCACAACAGCCGUGAAAGCUUUGGGUAUAUCGUUUUUAGAAGGGGCUCGUCGGCUGGCUGUGGGUUAAUCAGCUGUGCGUGUGGUCAGGGGUUAAGGGCUUGCUAAUUUCCACAGAGGUUUCCAUAUGUUGUUGGCCACAAAAAGAUACUUAAUUGGGGUUGGUUCUAUCUAUUUCUUUACAACAAAGUGGGUGUGCUUGUAUGCCGCCAAUAUCUAGACAACCAGGCCAGAAACAAAAGAAAUAGAAACGGGCCAACACAGUUCAAUAAAAAUAAACCAGCAAUUAAAACUUGUGUUUUGGCUAAAAGCAAAUUUGUGUGUGAUGAGUCGUUUUUGAAAAGAAAAUGUCAGCCUUGCGCCCUAUGAAAAAAGUUGAACACUUUUAUCGCAAUCCGAAGAAUGACAACUAUUAUAACAAUUAUUUAUUUUCAAAACUUUAAAACCCAUUUGUUGGCCAUUAUGGAAUGGAAAUCAAGAAAGUGGCUUUAAGAAGCGGAAAAUAUUAAUUAAAAUUGUAAACAAAAUUAUUAGACAUUAUUGUGUGUAAUACUUUUAGUUAUUUUUAAAGGAAGUUUGAUUACUAAUAUAUUUUCUCAUGCUGCCAUCUCUAUUUUCUAUUCAUUUUGCCAUCAUACCUAGUAUGUAUUCGUUCAAAAGUCCAUAUUUUUUUAAGCAGUUUUAACCAAAUUGCCGGGUGGGCUCGGUAAAGGCGCGUGUUAGUCAUAGACAUUUUAUAUUUACUGUUUAUUUGUGUUUGGCACAUUGGCUUGUGUUGUUUGUCUGGAAACAAAUAGCACGCAAGGCUAUUUCUAUUAACCAACCGACGAUAGCACCCCCAUUUCCUUUGAGGGUUUCAAGUCACUCGUUCUUUGGACAACACCCCCGCAUUCCUCUUUGAAAGAUACUUUUUUUCUUGAAUUUUAAUGGCGUGUCAGAAUUUAUUGGCCACGUUUAGUCGGCCGUUUGAGCCACACGCCCAUCGCUAAUUAUCCGGCAGCGGGAGAUGCAACCACAGGAAGUCGUCCAAGUGGCCACAGGCAUUCGGCAAUACCCCAACUGCAACAACAACAACCACAACGACAAAUCAAUCAGUUGCGGAAACGAUAGAGAUCGCAUGGAUCCAAUCAAAGGAAAGUAAAACAAAUUUGCAUGAAUAACAUGAUUCGAAGAAGGUUAAUAAAGGAAACUAUAGCUACGCGCCACUGAUUGAGAUCUAUACUUCAAAUUGUCUGUUGUCAAUAAAAUAAUUUAUUUAAGACGUUCAAAAAAAUGCCUUUUAAUGCUGUUUAACAAUAAGAAAUGGAAUAUUAUUUUUUUUAAUCCAUUUAAAAUCAUUUAAAUCGAUUCAUUCUACAAUACUAUAAAUUAUACUAUAAAUACAUACACUUUCUGUUACUGCUCUUUUCCAUUAAAGACAUUUAAUACUUUUAUCUAGUGCUGACGUCACCCGAAGGGACUCCAACGAAAUUACAAUUAUGUACUUUUCGUUGUUAUUUCUCUGUUUUUCCUCGUUCUCUUUCGUAUACACAUUGCUCUCCUUAAAGACUCUUUUGUGGAAUACACCUAAAAUUUUGUUGUUAUUUGCCCAUUUCAUGUAUCGCAUGCAACAAGUUUCUCGCAUUGAAAUAUCAAAAACAUUCACAGGAAACCAUCAAAAUGCGCAGCGCGAAGUUGAAUAUCGAAAAAGGCUCUCUCAGUUUCUCUCUCCGAAUAUUCAUCUUUCUCAAGUGAGUGUGUGUUUUUGGGUAUAGUGCCCCCUGUGUGUUGGCCUCUGCUCUCUGCUCUUUUCUCCGCACUUUUCCCCAUUUCUUCCGCUUUUCCUACAAAGGCCUCGCGUCAUUGCACUCGUGUGCUUGCUGUUGUGCGGUGGGCGUUGGGUGGUGGAAAAUCAACACCCCACAUUUGAGGGAGUUGGGGAAAAUGCGUUUAGGGGGUUGCCAAUGGCAGGGAGCCAAACAAAUGUUGGGAACUCAUUGGGGUGGCUCCCAAACAGUGGGCCGUGAAAAAUUAUCCAGAAGUAACUGCCAAUUACGCCCGGUAAGUACUUCAAUUUUUCCAUAAACGAUUAAACGAACCAGUGUAAAAAUACCAAGUCGAUGCAGAUUUGCAUCCUUUUGUAUGAUGAAAAUAUGAGCAUUUGCGAGUGUGCCUGGUUCUAGUAAAAUCCAAUUUCCCAAUUUCCUAAUUUUUUUUACUAAAUAACUAAAUCAUUAGUUUGUUUUUAAGCGGAAACAUAUUUGUUUACACAUCUGAGUAUUCGAACUGUUAGUCAGGCGUUGAGACAUAGCAAUAACUCAUGUUUACUGGUAACGAGGUGUCCGACAUUAAACUUGCAACUUGAAAACAUGCUAACUUGGCCAACCCACAAAUUCAUCAGAGGGUAACCCAUAGAUCGACCUUGAAGUUAUUCACACUAGAUAGUCACCGAAUUUCGUAUGGUAAACCGAAUUUCCAUGUUCAAUGUAAUCGGCACACUGUGACUGCGAAUCACACUGCGUUUGCGACUGAUGACGAGAUCUCCAUUAAGUUAUGAGCUAUCCGGGUAGCAAACGCAGUGAAGAUGGUGGAACAGCAAGACGAUUCCACUUUCGACUUCGGUUUGCCGCGGUUGAAAAGUCAAAGUCAAAUGCAAGACAUAACACAAUAAGAAAAUUCAGCUAAGAGCAACAAGAGCAACAAAGUCCGGACCAACAAUAAUAAUCGCAGAAAGGAAAACGAGUUUUUACUUUUAUAUUUUUCAGUGGCUCCACUUCGGGUUGGGGGUAUUCAUUUCCAAACGCGAUUCAAUUGCAGUUGUUUGUUGGUUUGCUGAUGUUGCUUGUUGCUGUUGCUGUUGCUGUUGCUGUUAUUGUUGGUUGUCGCUUGGGCAAAUUGUGGCCAUAAUGACGAAUUGCAUAAGCCGGAAUCGUAAUUAUAAUCAGUGAAUGCGACCGCUUUAGUUGCUCAUCCGCCAUUGGUCAUACAGUCAAACUUGCCCCUGUAAAGUGUAAAAUAUUCAAUUUCUGUACUCAUCGGAGUUGAUGAUUGAAAGUCUUGAGUAUUAAACUAGAGUAUUUUGCUAGGCUUGACCGAAUCUCUGACUCCCCUCAUUAUUUUUAAACAAUUCGCAGGAGUUGCGUCUCUUUUCGGGUAGCCAGCUUAACGUGCUCGCAAAUUACGCGCUUUUUAAGGUCCCUCACAAAACCUGACCAUAUAAGGAGUUGAUUGGCAACCGAAACAACAACGAAGGCAACCAAAACAUGAGCAAAACAUACACAAAUGGCUAUUAUUGUGAGGUAGCCAAACAACAACACAAAGUGCCACGAUUGCGUAUCAAGCACAUGGUCGCCGCCCCUCCUCAUUUUCACCCCCGCCCCACGCCCACAGUCAAAAACUUUUCAUUCAUUCACCCGACGCCUGCUGCUCCCAUUUCCCUUUAUAAGUUACGGGAUUUUAUAAACUUAUCCGUAGGCCGGUUAAAUAUUUUACCCGUGCAAAUCACCUUUGAUCAGCAUAUCGUCUUUAGUAAGAUAAGCUUCAAUAAAGAUAGCCAAGACGAAAUUACUGAUAAAAAGGCUAUCUCUAUACUUUAAAAAAACUGGAUGUUUUGGAUUUCCAUAUCCUAGGAAAUACUCGAGAUGUUUUGAGUUUUCAAGUAUUCUUGAGGAACAUUUACGUAAUAUUAAGAUUGCAAUAUAAAGACAACAGUAAUAAAAUUAUAGGUGACUGAUAUUAAAUUAUUAUUUCCGAAUGAUGCACAUUAAUACACAUUUAACUAAUCUCCUAUUUGGUUUAUUCCCCUAAUGAAUAAUAGGUAUAUUACUUGGAAAGAGUAUUCAUAAAGCUGGUUUAACCCAUUUCCUCUGUUAGUUUUUGGUUUGAUAGCCCGGUUGUGUGACCUUGCUGAAUACUUUUUUGUGUUGUUUUUUGCAAAUCUAAUCCAAAUUCCAAAUGAAGCGAAUUUCAGAAAUGGAAAUGUGUUUUCAAUUGGCAUUUGCAUGUUAAGCUGUGUAGUAGAGCUAAUCGUAAUUUGAGCAAUAAAUGUAAAGCGCAAAAGGGAAUUAUCUGCUACAAUGGCGACAUGUAGAGCUUGUAUUUUCAGGGAUUGUACAUGGCAAUGAAAUUAGUUGUAUAAUAUAGAGUUGGAUUACCCAGUUCAUGAUGAGUAGAAAUCUUUGGACUCUCUGUGUGAAUUUAUGCAUUCAACAUCUGCUGAAAUUUGCAUAUCCUGCAUACAGGCACACUUAAUUUCAAAAUUUGAAUGUGUCGCGGAUUUUGAAUGCUCCAUCAAUCAAGCCAAGAUUAAUAGCCUGCAAUCGCGGUUGAUAAUUUUUCGUACUUUUUUUUGCUGCCUGAGCUCAUCAGUGACAAUUUGUCAAUCGUUAACCCAACCCAAAUGGGCAACCAUGUGAUAAGGACGAGGUUUCACAAUGCAAAGAGGACAACAAAAUGAGCAGUAAUUAGAAAUUUAUAGAUAAAAACAAUAAAUACAAAGCCCCGUAUAAAGACAUCAAAAAAAUCACUAUAUGAUGAGGGGAAAGGGACCAGAGGAACGGGUCCAAAAGGGCCUGGGAUCCACACACCAUCCCCACCGUGCGAGUAACUGAGACGGGGCAUACGGACAUGCUAAUCACGAACACAACGAAACGGCACGGACAUAAUGGACAAAACAAAAACGAAGAAGAACGAGAACAAGAACGAGAGAGAGAGCAACACACAAUAAAACCCACAAAUAAAACCCGAUUCGAGAAAAACCCGCUGCCUGCUGCCGUUCCUCGGCGCCUGUUCAAAUAAGUUUCAAAUUUUGACAAAUAAAACCAUGGUUUUGUAAUUUACGAGCAUUCCGAGCUAUUUUCAUAAUGAUUGAGCGCGAGUUGAGUGGAGUGUUUGCCGUUGUCGUUGCCGUUCUCGAUUCUCAGGCUCUCGAGAACUCGACAUCUCAACAUCUCGGGUCCCAGUUCCCAGGGGAGUUAAAAGUAUAAAAUGCAAAAAACAAAGUAAGGACCUCUCGUGUCUCUUAUUUAUUCUGCUUCUGCUUCGGCUUCUCUUUCUCCAGCCUACCAGCCGUGCAAUAAAACGGGAUUAUGAACGAGUGUGUUUUCGGUGUUUGUUUGUAUAUACGCAGGUACAGUGGAAGUUCCCUAAGUUGUUUUCAGAUGUAUUUCGAUGGAUUGACUCAAUUAUUAACGUAAUAAUAAGUUGAUGCAUGUAAUUAAAGCAAUCAUAUUUUGCAUGUAAAGCUCCACUUAGGCAUUAAGUUCCAAGUUCCCCUGUCCGAGGUUUCACUGUGCGCAUUGAGUCCUUCUUUAACCAGUUGGUAGGGACAGGAGGUCGCUCUUGCUGCAGGCUGCUCGGGUGGCGGUUGAUGGAGCCUAAAGAAGCUGCAGCCGACGGACGGAAUGUGUCUAGACGUUUGAUUACCGGGACAGAAGCAGAAGCAGACGCAGAAGCCGCGAGGUCGUGGCACAGUGGACUUAAACCGAGCUUUGGGCGGGCUUUCAUCGGCGUUGCCUUCGGUUUAGAAUGCCAUUUUAUUGGUUUGUCUGGCUUGGCUUUACUCCAGACUCAAGCUGAUAUAAAGUGUUUGCUUAUCAGCUCUUUUUCGUUCCCAGGCGUCCUAUGCUUAAGUGCCUGUUGGUUUUUUCAUCAGAGACACAGUGGUGUGGCGAAGAUAAUGGGAUAAUUGCGAAAAUGGGUGGGUAAUAAGGCUGGAAAUUUAUGGCACCAUGCCCGACGGUGAUUGGAAAAUGAAAUUAAUAGAAUCCGGUUUGCACUUCUAAUAAGUGAUCCUCUAAACAGGUUCAAUUAAAACCAAUAACUAUAUUACAUCAAAAUAUUUUGUAUCUGUAUCUGUACUAGCUAUAAAUAUUUACCACUAAAGAAUUUCUGUUAAGGAUCGCUGAGGAUACGAAAAAAAUAAGUUAAUACAUUAUCCGGUUUGCAAGGCAAGAAACAAUAAUCAUUAGAAAACAAGGAUCUGAGGUAGACAAUCCGGUUUGGAGAUUACGUCAUGAAGCCAGUUUAUAAGCCCGGUUCAGGUCGAAAUGCUCAAAUCGCAUUCCUGAAUUCGCCACACACUAUCGGUUUUGGGUACACGAUUCUCAAGGUAACCCGAUGCCAGCCAAUUCCCGUGACAUGAAGGAAGGCACGUAAUCUUUUUCAGGGAUGUUGGCAAUCGGAAUCUGGCUCUUUUCUACCUGACUGCAUUCGACAUUUGCGCGUAUUAUUCAAAUCGUCAGUUUUUCGUCACAGUACAUUAAUAAGCAUUAUGUCACCCUUUGUUAUUUUGUGCAUAUUUUAAAUCCAUAUUUCUCCAUUUAUAAAUGUAUAUUUAAAUUGCGCAUUUCACAGCUGAGACUGCCAGUAAUGUGUAGAGUUGAUAAGACGCUGCUUUAAGUGAGUGUUGUUUUAUAUCAAAAGACAUGCAAAGGAAAUCUAUUGAAAAUGUAGUUUAAAAUUAUAUAUUCGAGCUCUUUUUACUAAGGAAAAGCUGUAGUCAAAACGUCUUAGGACUUGACAUCAUUAAGGAAUUUAAUAAAUUAACUUUUGUUACUGUGCCUUUGAUUUGACACUUAUGCCAACCACUGUGCCUCUGAAGUACAAGGACUUUCGAUGGUUGAGCUAAAUUUUUUCAACAUUUGGGGGUUUUUUUUGCACAAAGGUCAAAGGGGCGCAAAUCAAACGGGGGCCUUGACUUUUGCACUUUUGGCAAAUGUUUUUUACAGCAGGACAUUCAGAAAAUCGGACGGAGGAUAAAACAAGAACAAAUAAAAUACAAGCACAAAUACCGAAAGACGUGUAACUCACCACGAGGAGGGUGUCUCCGGAGGUGAAGGUGUAUAAACUGGAAUUUCUGCC